Molecule: ribosomal RNA, 1380 nt
Filed under: metagenome
Description: bacterial SSU rRNA
Rfam family: Bacterial small subunit ribosomal RNA
Source: RNAcentral
AGAGUUUGAUCCUGGCUCAGGAUGAACGCUGGCGGCGUGCUUAACACAUGCAAGUCGAACGAUCCUUCGGGAUAGUGGCGGACGGGUGAGUAACGCGUGGGAAUCUGCCCUCAGGAGGGGGAUAACGGCUGGAAACGGCCGCUAAUACCCCAUAUGCCGAGAGGUGAAAUGAAUUUCGCCUGAGGAUGAGCCCGCGUCUGAUUAGCUAGUUGGUGGGGUAAAGGCCUACCAAGGCAACGAUCAGUAGCCGGUCUGAGAGGAUGAUCAGCCACACUGGGACUGAGACACGGCCCAGACUCCUACGGGAGGCAGCAGUGGGGAAUUUUCCGCAAUGGGCGAAAGCCUGACGGAGCAACGCCGCGUGAGGGAUGAAGGCCUCUGGGCUGUAAACCUCUUUUCUCAAGGAAGAAGACCUGACGGUACUUGAGGAAUAAGCCACGGCUAAUUCCGUGCCAGCAGCCGCGGUAAUACGGGAGUGGCAAGCGUUAUCCGGAAUUAUUGGGCGUAAAGCGUCCGCAGGCGGCCUUGUAAGUCUGUUGUUAAAGCGUGGAGCUCAACUCCAUUUAAGCAAUGGAAACUACAAGGCUGGAGUGUGGUAGGGGCAGAGGGAAUUCCCGGUGAAGCGGUGAAAUGCGUAGAUAUCGGGAAGAACACCAGUGGCGAAGGCGCUCUGCUGGGCCAUAACUGACGCUCAUGGACGAAAGCCAGGGGAGCGAAAGGGAUUAGAUACCCCUGUAGUCCUGGCCGUAAACGAUGAACACUAGGUGUCGGGGGAAUCGACCCCCUCGGUGGCGUAGCCAACGCGUUAAGUGUUCCGCCUGGGGAGUACGCACGCAAGUGUGAAACUCAAAGGAAUUGACGGGGGCCCGCACAAGCGGUGGAGUAUGUGGUUUAAUUCGAUGCAACGCGAAGAACCUUACCAGGGUUUGACAUCCUGCGAACCCCUGAGAAAUCGGGGGGUGCCUUCGGGAGCGCAGAGACAGGUGGUGCAUGGCUGUCGUCAGCUCGUGUCGUGAGAUGUUGGGUUAAGUCCCGCAACGAGCGCAACCCACGUCUUUAGUUGCCAGCAUUCAGUUGGGCACUCUAGAGAGACCGCCGGUGAUAAACCGGAGGAAGGUGUGGAUGACGUCAAGUCAUCAUGCCCCUUACAUCCUGGGCUACACACGUACUACAAUGCUACGGACAAAGGGCAGCAAGCUCGCGAGAGUUAGCAAAUCCCAUAAACCGUGGCUCAGUUCAGAUCGUAGGCUGCAACUCGCCUACGUGAAGGAGGAAUCGCUAGUAAUCGCAGGUCAGCAUACUGCGGUGAAUACGUUCCCGGGCCUUGUACACACCGCCCGUCACACCAUGGAAGUUGGCUAUGCCCGAAGUCGUUACUCC